UGGGGAAUCUUGCGCAAUGGGCGAAAGCCUGACGCAGCGACGCCGCGUGAGUGAUGAAGGCCCUCGGGUUGUAAAGCUCUGUGGAGGGGGAAGAAUAAGGGUAGCCCAAUACGCUACUUGAUGACGGUACCCCUUUAGCAAGCACCGGCUAACUCUGUGCCAGCAGCCGCGGUAAGACAGAGGGUGCAAACGUUGUUCGGAAUUACUGGGCGUAAAGCGCGUGUAGGCGGCUUGGCAAGUCGGGUGUGAAAGCCCUGGGCUCAACCCAGGAAGUGCACUCGAAACUGCUUCGCUUGAGUAUCGGAGAGGAAAGCGGAAUUCUCGGUGUAGAGGUGAAAUUCGUAGAUAUCGAGAGGAACACCGGUGGCGAAGGCGGCUUUCUGGACGGUUACUGACGCUGAGACGCGAAAGCGUGGGGAGCAAACAGG
This 428-nucleotide ribosomal RNA is filed under the name uncultured bacterium. RNAcentral describes it as "bacterial SSU rRNA". It matches the Rfam family "Bacterial small subunit ribosomal RNA", at positions 355 to 776 of the family's 1533-position model. The record is from RNAcentral.